GAGUUCGAUCCUAGCUCAGAUUGAACGCUGGCGGGAUGCUUUUACAUGCAAGUCGAACGGCAGCACGGACUUCGGUCUGGGCGAGUGGCGAACGGGUGAGUAAUGUCGGAACGUGCCUAGUAGCGGGGGGAUAACUACGCGAAAGCGUAGCUAAUACCGCAUACGCCCUUCGGGGAAAGCGGGGGACCUUCGGGCCUCACUAUUAGAGCGGCCGAUAUCGGAUUAGCUAGUUGGUGGGGUAACGGCUCGCAAGGCGACGAUCCGUAGCUGGUUUGAGAGGACGACCAGCCGCACUGGGACUGAGACACGGCCCAGACUCCUACGGGAGGCAGCAGUGGGGAAUUUUUGGACAAUGGGAAACCUGAUCCAGCCAUCCCGCGUGUGCGAUGAAGGCCUUCCGGGUUGUAAAGCACUUUUGGCAGGAAAGAAACGGCACGGGAUAAUACCCCGUGCAACUGACGGACCUGCAGAAUAAGCACCGGCUAACUACGUGCCAGCAGCCGCGGUAAUACCGUAGGGUGCAAGCGUUAAUCGGAAUUACUGGGCGUAAAGCGUGCGCAGGCAGUUCGGAAAGAAAGAUGUGAAAUCCCAGAGCUUAACUUUGGAACUGCGUUUUUAACUACCGAGCUAGAGUGUGUCAGAGGGAGGUGGAAUUCCGCGUGUAGCGGUGAAAUGCCGUAGAUAUGCGGAGGAACACCGAUGAAGGCAGCCUCCUGAGAUUAACACUGACGCUCAUGCACGAAAGCGUGGGGAGCAAACAGGAUUAGAUACCCUGGUAGUCCACGCCCUAAACGAUGUCAACUAGCUGUUGGGGCCUUCGGGCCUUGGUAAGCGCAACUAACGCGUAAGUUGACCGCCUGGGGAAGUACGGUCGCAAGAUUAAAACUCAAGGAAUUGACGGGGACCCGCACAAGCGGUGGAUGAUGUGGAUUAAUUCGAUGCAGCACGCAGAAAACCUUACCUACCCUUGACAUGUCUGGAAUCCCAGAAAGAGAUUUAGAGGAGUGCUCGCAAGAGAACCGGAACACAGGUGCUGCAUGGCUGUCGUCCCAGCUCGUGUCGUGAGAUGUUGAGUUAAGUCCCGCAACGAGCGCAACCCUUGUCAUUAGUUGCUACGAAAGGGCACUCUAAUGAGACUGCCAGUGACAAACCGGAGGAAGGUGGGGAUGACGUCAAGUCCUCAUGGCCCUUAUGGGUAGGGCUUCACACGUCAUACAAUGGUCGGGACAGAGGGUCGCCAACCCGCGAGGGGAGCCAAUCCCGAAACCCGAUCGUAGUCCGGAUCGCAGUCUGCAACUCGACUGCGUGAAGUCGGAAUCGCUAGUAAUCGCGGAUCAGCAUGUCGCGGUGAAUACGUUCCCGGGUCUUGUACACACCGCCCACCAUGGGAGUGGGUUUUACCAGAAAGUAGUUAGCCUAACCGUAAGGAGGGCGAUUACCACGGUAGGAUUCAUGACUGGGGUGAAGUCGUAACAAGGUAA
RNAcentral lists this ribosomal RNA (1481 nucleotides) under uncultured Bordetella sp. Its description in RNAcentral is "partial 16S-23S ribosomal RNA intergenic spacer". It matches the Rfam family "Bacterial small subunit ribosomal RNA". The record is from RNAcentral. Lineage: Bacteria; Pseudomonadati; Pseudomonadota; Betaproteobacteria; Burkholderiales; Alcaligenaceae.